RNAcentral lists this ribosomal RNA (557 nucleotides) under uncultured Alphaproteobacteria bacterium. RNAcentral's name for it is "bacterial SSU rRNA". It matches the Rfam family "Bacterial small subunit ribosomal RNA", at positions 38 to 643 of the family's 1533-position model. Lineage: Bacteria; Pseudomonadati; Pseudomonadota; Alphaproteobacteria. The record is from RNAcentral.
GGCGGCAGGCUUAACACAUGCAAGUCGAGCGCCUCGCAAGAGGAGCGGCAGACGGGUGAGUAACGCGUGGGAAUCUACCCAUCCUUACGGAACAACGCAGGGAAACUUGCGCUAAUACCGUAUACGCCCUUACGGGGAAAGAUUUAUCGCCGAAAGAUCAGCCCGCGUUGGAUUAGCUAGUUGGUGAGGUAACGGCCCACCAAGGCGACGAUCCAUAGCUGGUUUGAGAGAACGACCAGCCACACUGGGACUGAGACACGGCCCAGACUCCUACGGGAGGCAGCAGUUGGGAAUCUUGGACAAUGGGGGAAACCCUGAUCCAGCCAUGCCGCGUGAGUGAUGAAGGCCUUCGGGUUGUAAAACUCUUUCGACGGGGACGAUAAUGACGGUACCCGUAGAAGAAGCUCCGGCUAACUUCGUGCCAGCAGCCGCGGUAAUACGAAGGGGGCUAGCGUUGUUCGGAAUUACUGGGCGUNAAGCGUGCGCAGGCGGUCUUCCAAGUCAGUGGUGAAAGCCCGGAGCUCAACUCCGGAAAUGCCAUUGAAACUGUUGGACUC